This 497-nucleotide ribosomal RNA is filed under the name uncultured bacterium. RNAcentral's name for it is "partial 16S ribosomal RNA". It matches the Rfam family "Bacterial small subunit ribosomal RNA", at positions 28 to 507 of the family's 1533-position model. The record is from RNAcentral.
GAUGAACGCUGGCGGCGUGCCUAACACAUGCAAGUCGAACGGAAAGACCAUGAGCUUGUGCCGUUCACGAUUGCGGAAGGCGGGAGUGUCACGCGUGGAUCCCGCCCUUGUCUUUCGGGGAUAUUCACGAAACUGCGGCUAAUAUACCAGAUGAUCUACUGAACCAUGGGGGGCAUUGGAGAGUGACGGCUUUGGGGUAUGUACUAGAUGGUUCCGAGCCGCAUUAGCUGGUUGGUAGGGUAACGGCCUACCAAGGCGACGAUGCGUAGCCGAUCUGAGAGGCUGAUCGGCCACAUGGGAACUGAGACACGGUCCAGACUCCUACGGGAGGCAGCAGUAGGGAAUGUGCGGCAAUGGGCGGAAGCCUGACGCAGCGAGCCCGCGUGAGUUAUGAAGGUCUUCGGUUCGUAAUGACCUGUUUUUGGUUAAGAACAGCUGUGGAAUGAGACAAGGCGGUCGUGACGGUACCGAAUCAAGAAGCACCGGCUAACUACGUG